GGGAAUAUAGCUCAGCUGGUGGAGUGCUUGCCUCACAUGCAUAAGGCCCUAGGUUCAAUCCCCAGUACCA
RNAcentral lists this transfer RNA (70 nucleotides) under Ictidomys tridecemlineatus (thirteen-lined ground squirrel). RNAcentral describes it as "Spermophilus tridecemlineatus (thirteen-lined ground squirrel) tRNA". It matches the Rfam family "tRNA". From Rfam's summary of the family: Transfer RNA (tRNA) molecules are approximately 80 nucleotides in length. The record is from Rfam by way of RNAcentral. Lineage: Eukaryota; Metazoa; Chordata; Mammalia; Rodentia; Sciuridae.